CCAGACUCCUACGGGAGGCAGCAGUGGGGAAUAUUGGGCAAUGGGCGCAAGCCUGACCCAGCAACGCCGCGUGAAGGAAGAAGGCUUUCGGGUUGUAAACUUCUUUUAAGAGGGAAGAGUAGAAGACGGUACCUCUUGAAUAAGAAGCACCGGCUAAAUACGUGCCAGCAGCCGCGGUAAUACGUAUGGUGCAAGCGUUAUCCGGAUUUACUGGGCGUAAAGGGAGCGCAGGCGGCGCGCCAAGUCUGAUGUGAAAGCCCGGGGCCCAACCCCGGGACUGCUCUUGGAACUGCGUGGCUGGAGUGCAGGAGGGGCAGGCGGAAUUCCUGGUGUAGCGGUGAAAUGCGUAGAUAUCAGGAGGAACACCGGCGGCGAAGGCGGCCUGCUGGACCGCGACUGACGUUGAGGCUCGAAAGCGUGGGGAGCGAACAGGAUUAGAUACCCUCGUAA
RNAcentral lists this ribosomal RNA (450 nucleotides) under uncultured bacterium. RNAcentral describes it as "partial 16S ribosomal RNA". It matches the Rfam family "Bacterial small subunit ribosomal RNA", at positions 331 to 793 of the family's 1533-position model. The record is from RNAcentral.